UGGGCGUAAGCGGGCUGCAUAGCUCAGGGU
This 30-nucleotide non-coding RNA is filed under the name Mus musculus (house mouse). The record is from RNAcentral. Lineage: Eukaryota; Metazoa; Chordata; Mammalia; Rodentia; Muridae.